GUCGUAACAAGGUAGCCGUACUGGAAGGUGUGGCUGGAUCACCUCCUU
Molecule: ribosomal RNA, 48 nt
Filed under: Klebsormidium nitens
Lineage: Eukaryota; Viridiplantae; Streptophyta; Klebsormidiophyceae; Klebsormidiales; Klebsormidiaceae
Description: partial 16S ribosomal RNA
Source: RNAcentral